Molecule: ribosomal RNA, 253 nt
Filed under: uncultured bacterium
Lineage: Bacteria
Description: partial 16S ribosomal RNA
Rfam family: Bacterial small subunit ribosomal RNA
Source: RNAcentral
UACGGAGGGUGCGAGCGUUGUCCGGAAUCACUGGGCGUAAAGGGCGCGUAGGCGGCUUGGGUAGUCCGUGGUGAAAGCUCGAGGCUCAACCUCGAGACGUCGGUUGAAACCAUCUGGCUAGAGUCCGGAAGAGGAGUGUGGAAUUCCCGGUGUAGCGGUGAAAUGCGCAGAUAUCAGGAGGAACACCGGUGGCGAAGGCGGGUCUCUGGGCCGUUACUGACGCUGAGGAGCGAAAGCGUGGGGAGCGAACAGG